AAGAAAGUAAAUAAGGGCGCAUGGCGGAUGCCUUGGCUCUCGGAGGCGAUGAAGGACGUGAUAAGCUGCGAUAAGCUUCGGGUAGGUGCAAAUGACCAUUGAUCCGAAGAUUUCCGAAUGGGACAACCCGGCAUUCUGAAGGAAUGUCAUCCAACUUUGUUGGAGGCUAACGCAGGGAACUGAAACAUCUUAGUACCUGCAGGAAAAGAAAAUAAAUAAUGAUUCCCCUAGUAGUGGCGAGCGAACGGGGAUUAGCCCAAACCACCCAUGUUACGGCAUGUGUGGGGUUGUAGGACCACGCUCUCGCAAGACAGUUAUUGAGAAGAAACGGCUGGAAAGUCGUGCCAUAGACGGUGAUAGCCCGGUAUUCUAAGGUAACCGAAGCGUAGUGGUAUCCUGAGUAGCGCGGAGCACGAGGAAUUCUGCGUGAAUCAGCCGGGACCAUCCGGUAAGGCUAAAUACUCCCGAGAGACCGAUAGCGAACCAGUACUGUGAAGGAAAGGUGAAAAGCACUUCGAAUAGAAGAGUGAAAUAGUCCCUGAAACCAUGCGCCUACAAG
This 559-nucleotide ribosomal RNA is filed under the name Bacteroides hominis. RNAcentral's name for it is "partial 23S ribosomal RNA". It matches the Rfam family "Bacterial large subunit ribosomal RNA", at positions 1 to 570 of the family's 2925-position model. Lineage: Bacteria; Pseudomonadati; Bacteroidota; Bacteroidia; Bacteroidales; Bacteroidaceae. The record is from RNAcentral.